AGCCCAUUCCAUGCUUGAAGCCUUUGGUAGCCGGACAUCGUACGAUGACUCGUACGGUUCGUCUCAAACCUCGACCUCGUUUCCUUGUGGUCCCACACAACAGCAGUCUUCCCAAGCACCUUAUUGGUCUCAGCAGCAUUAUCCAGGUGAUGCACACCCACCUUACCAACCUCACGGAGGGACUCAGUUUAGUACCAUGGCACCAGCUGCAGGGAUGUCAUUUCAACCAACACAGUCACCACCACGACCUUUCGGAUCACAACAGUUAUAUGAUGUUGGACCUUCUUCGUAUUACCCUACGGUGACAGUAGAAG
Panicum virgatum (switchgrass) is the source of this 314-nucleotide long non-coding RNA. RefSeq lists it as uncharacterized. The record is from RefSeq and is a predicted model, not a curated record. NCBI's taxonomy places the organism in Eukaryota, Viridiplantae, Streptophyta, Magnoliopsida, Poales, Poaceae. The transcript is spliced from 3 exons.